GAAGGUAUAGCUCAGUGGUAGAAUGCAUGCUUGGCAUACAUGAGGUCCUGGGUUUAGUCCCCAGUACCUCCA
Molecule: transfer RNA, 72 nt
Filed under: Camelus bactrianus (Bactrian camel)
Lineage: Eukaryota; Metazoa; Chordata; Mammalia; Artiodactyla; Camelidae
Also listed under: 2 other names
Rfam family: tRNA
About the family: Transfer RNA (tRNA) molecules are approximately 80 nucleotides in length. Their secondary structure includes four short double-helical elements and three loops (D, anti-codon, and T loops). Further hydrogen bonds mediate the characteristic L-shaped molecular structure. tRNAs have two regions of fundamental functional importance: the anti-codon, which is responsible for specific mRNA codon recognition, and the 3' end, to which the tRNAs corresponding amino acid is attached (by aminoacyl-tRNA synthetases). tRNAs cope with the degeneracy of the genetic code in two manners: having more than one tRNA (with a specific anti-codon) for a particular amino acid; and 'wobble' base-pairing, i.e. permitting non-standard base-pairing at the 3rd anti-codon position.
Source: Rfam by way of RNAcentral